Molecule: long non-coding RNA, 1042 nt
Filed under: Pogona vitticeps (central bearded dragon)
Lineage: Eukaryota; Metazoa; Chordata; Lepidosauria; Squamata; Agamidae
Description: lncRNA (ENSPVIG00000024509.1)
Source: RNAcentral
CUAAGCGACCCCUUUUCAAACCCCCCCCCCCAUAACGACGACGGCGGCGGCCACCGCCGACCUCCUUCCCAACCUCAGUCAGGAGAACCUCGGAGCCUCACUCGCUUUUUCUUUUUCUCCUCUCCCUUUUCUUCCCUCAGAGCGGUCGCCUCGUUACAACCGCCUUCCUCACGAUCGGAGGGAAUCCACCACAGCCUAAGGCGCCGGCUGAGGGAAACGAGGAGAGGAGGCGAGUCUGAGGGGAGGCGUGUCCUUUUCCCCCUCCCAGCUGGUGCCGCUGCUCAGGGCAGCCCGGCGCCUUCCCUGGGCCUGGGCGCCGCCAACCGGCGAGGCGGUGGCGGAUUCCCCGCACAAGACCCCUCGCCAAAUCCUAUGUAUGUUACUUCAAAAGGAAGUGAUAAUUAAUUUGGUGGGAGUUACUCCCUUGGUGGCCUAAGACAACAAAGAUCAGUAAAGUCACAUGCUGUUCAAAGAAGUCUUGGCAGACUGAAUCAUAUGAGCUUCCCUGCAAUCCUGGUUUAAACAUCAGAGGACCAGAACCUCAGUCCCUCAGGUAAAAUCCUUGUUUUGGGGGUUCUUUGGAAGACCAUGCCACAUACGUGAUCCCAUCAUUUGGUAAUUUCCUGGCUUUUCUUUUCCUUGGUCCCAAUCCUUUUGCUUUUAACCCAAUCCACCACUGAAAUCAGGCAAGAUCACCAAUAGUACAGUACAAUCUUUUUAGUUACUUUGUAUGAAUAUGAAAGCUGGGCCAUGAGGAAAGCCAACAGACAACAAGUCAGUUUGCCUGAAAUGCAGUGCUGGAGGAUAGCUUUGUGGUUACCAUGAACAGCCAGAAAGGCAAACAAAUGAGUCCUAGAUCAGAUCAAGCGUGAAUUCUCUAGAAGCAAACAAUGAUGAAACUGGAUCUGUUGGACUUUGGGCCCAUCAUGAAAAGACUGGAAAAGAUAAUGAUGCUAGGAGAAUUUGAAGGCAACAGGAAAAGAAGAAGACCAAACAUGAGAUUGAAUGACUGAAUAAAAGAAGCCACAGGUUUGAAUUUACA